UACGUAGGGACCAAGCGUUGUUCGGAAUUACUGGGCGUAAAGCGCGCGUAGGCGGCUUUGUAAGUUAGAGGUGAAAGCCCGGGGCUCAACCCCGGAAUUGCCUUUAAGACUGCAUCGCUUGAAUCCGGGAGAGGUGAGUGGAAUUCCGAGUGUAGAGGUGAAAUUCGUAGAUAUUCGGAAGAACACCAGUGGCGAAGGCGGCUCACUGGACCGGCAUUGACGCUGAGGUGCGAAAGCGUGGGGAGCAAACAGG
Molecule: ribosomal RNA, 253 nt
Filed under: uncultured bacterium
Lineage: Bacteria
Description: partial 16S ribosomal RNA
Rfam family: Bacterial small subunit ribosomal RNA
Source: RNAcentral